Long non-coding RNA from Oxyura jamaicensis (ruddy duck), 3255 nucleotides. RefSeq lists it as uncharacterized. NCBI's taxonomy places the organism in Eukaryota, Metazoa, Chordata, Aves, Anseriformes, Anatidae. The transcript has 2 exons. The record is from RefSeq and is a predicted model, not a curated record.
ACUGGCACCGGAGGAGGAUGCUGGGCAGCAUCUGGGAUCGCCCCUGGAAUGGUGUGUUUGUAGGAAACAGGUUGUAAGCACCAAAAUGCUCCCUGUGCAGAUACAACAGGGUUUGUUUGAUCACCAGCCAGAGACAAGCUCCUCUUGCAAGAGCAGUGAUUGUCCCCGCACGGUGCAGCCCCGUCUCGCCCCAGUGCGUGGCUGGCACGGGAAGGAGUUAACUGCUGCCCCCUGCCCUCCCCGCUCAGGUGCGCUGAGUUGUGAGGGCAGAGCCUGCAAAAGGCACUGGGGCAGCAUCCCAAUUCCAAGUUAGUGGCAUGUGUGAGAGCUGGGGAUGGAGCAUGAGAAGAAGCAAGGGUACGCUGUGUUGUGAGGCCGAACCUCCCCAGGGCAGCAGGGGAAGCAUCUCUGCUGGUGCUGGAGGAAGCCGGAGAGCACGGGGGACUCUGGGUCCUUAAAGCUAGCUCUGACUACAUAAAUGACUUCACAGUCAGAUCAGCUCCCUGUGUGCCACCAGGGAUUGUGCCGAGAUGGAGAACACGGCUCCCUUGCAGCACCACGGAUCCCCUCUCUGGAUGGAAGAGAAGCUUGAGCCCACGUAAUCUGCUCUCAGGGGUGCACUCAGGAUUCAGCACUCCCGUUUUAAGGAGACAACAUGGCAAAACAAGGGUUAUUUGGAGGGGGCUCUUUCUUGCCAGGUGUUAAAAUACUGACAACUCCUGUCAAAGGAUCCUUUCAUGUAGACAUUCCCGGGCAGUCCUCAACAUGCCUGGGAAAUAAAACUGCUCUGGAGGAGCAGAGGUGCAUUAUGGCAAGCUCUUUGGUAACAAAUUCUCUCAUUAUACCAUGUUAUGACAUGGAUAAAUCUCUGUUAAAUAGCACAGCGAUUGCCCCGCAGGGAGAAAGGCUGCCGCUCAACACAGGCAUGCCUCCGCUGAUAACCUUAUCAUGUCUUAACAGCUCCAGGAUUGCCUUCAAAGAUCCUUCAACAAUAACAAACUAUUCUUUUAAGGAACUCCGUGCUGAUAACUCUGGGCAAGAAGGAUCAGGGCUGCAUCCCGUGAGCCUGUGCCCGCAGCGCAGGCUGAGCGCGGCAGCACGUGGGCCCCCUGCACACUCUGCAGCUGCUGCUGGAGCAAAGUGCUCCCCAUCCUGCAGCCCCAGCUUGUUCAUGGCCACCAUGGGAACAAGCAUUACAUUUCAUUGUGUGUUUACAGGCCUGAGUCUCUAUAUCCCCAGCUGUAUUUUCAGCCAAGAAGAGCAAUGUGCGCUCUCCCUAAGGGACAGCAAAAUGCACGUCCUGUUCAGGCUCCAAGCAGAGUGGCAAACAGGUGCCUCUGCUCCUCUCUGGUAAUCUAUAGUUGCUAAUCUGUCACCAAUAAUCUAGCACAGAUGAUUUAUGUGCAGGCUUGUGCUCUGUCAUGGCUUUGAGUCGCUGAUGCUUCCUGAGCUGCAGCUGAAGUGUGUGUACCUGGCUUACAAAGAGCACAGAAAGGUGCUGAGCCUUCCUCAAGCACAAAACAGGGCGGUUGCAAAGUGAAAAGCAGAACCCAGGAGACCGAAAUACCAGCACUUCUUGCAUAGACUGGUGCCACCACCUCGACGCUUCAGUCUUCUUUUUGCCGUGGCCACUUCUCUGCCAUCUGGGCUAAGGGCAAGCCUCUGGCUGCUCACUCGUGUCCUGCCUGUUUGUUCACAGCUUUGCAAGUUGGCAGCAGCCGCGACUUCUGCUCUCGUCCAUGCGUAAAAAGCUCCUGUGCCUGUCCCAGGCCAGGCUGCACCCCCAGCAGCAGAGGUUCCUGCGCUGGUGUGGGAGCGUGCUGCAGAAACUCCUUGGCCCCCGUCCAGAGGAGCUGUCCCUGGUAUGUGGGAAGCGAGUGCGGCCGGGGCUGCGUCUGUAGAGCGGUGUUGGAACCUCGGCCGGGAGCAGCACCCCGGGACGCCUGAGUGCAGUCCCCAGCAUCAUCAGUGCUGGUGCAGCAAGGCUGAAAGAUGUCGAUCCUAAGACUUCUUCCACACCUACACAAGUUUGAGUUUGUUCUGCCUCUGGGUACCUCCUUCCUGUACCUCCAGUUCCCGGUCUGUGCUUCAGACCAUUGAUGUUGUUCUCCCAGUUCUUAUUGUCACCUCUGUGCGCAGACAGACGUCGGACUGCCUGUUACCGUACGUCUGCGGAGCACAACAGGUUCACCUCAGUGUGGCUUGUGGCUGACAGCACAUUACUAACAGCAAACAGGAGCAGCCUGCCCUAUGCUUCCAUAAGCCUGCAGAAUGUACGUGCCUGCUUUCUUCCUACAGACACGGGGCUCCCAGUGUCCGCGUACCCUUGUUUGCUGCAGGGAAAAUACAACGGCACCUUUUGCUGCUCCUUCUCUGCCACGGUAAUGUCUUGUAGCGCAAGUCCAGAGCAAUAAGAAUAAACAGAAAAGCAAAAUUAUUUAAAUACCAGCAGUUUAUCAGCAUGAACCUCUGUUUUUCUAGGGACUUGCUAACCCAAAGGGUCCCUGGAUGGGACUUAUUUCACCACUGUGUUUGAAACGCAGCUACUUCUUGGGUGGGACUGAGAGCCUGCUGUAUCCACGCUAAACACAAUGAGACACAAACACGCCGGAGUGAUGAAGCCCCGUGGUGUAAUCGGCCCCUCUGCAGACUCAGUUCUCCUUUGCAGCGGUUAUCUCAGUACCAUUGCCACUGCAUCCAAGGAAAUGUUUUGUGCACUACAGGGUUCAAGUGACCUCAUGCCCCACAGAAAUUCAGGGAGAUGAAUGCGGUGGCAGCUGUGAAAGAGCACCGAAUUGAGUCUUCAGAUUCCUGUCCAUUCACCCCCUGCAAACAGCCCAGACCCGCUCCGGAAGAGGCCAGUGCCCUGCUUGGACCUGCAGCUACCGUGCAGGACAUGAGAUGGGAGAGGUGUAUUUUCUCCGUGUAUGCCAAGAGCCUCGCUCAAGAAAUAGCCUGAACCUUCUGCGUGGAGAGACCUAGCAGAGAAGUCCAUCUGCUGCACUCCUCCCAAGGGCAGCAGAACCGCUAGGAGGAUGUGUCCCAACAGAUUCGGAGCUGAUAAAAUCUUAUUUAUCUUCAACUGUUGACACCGAAGCGUCUAGACUUGCCUGCUUCGGGAGGGCUGCAGCCAAGUCCUUCUUUCUCUCUUGAAGGAAAUGAUUUGCUCAACAAUUGCUUUUUUCCACAAAUCCUCCCCCCUCCUCCCUACCAGCCUUCUCCUCCUCCUCCUUUACAUUCCAGUCUCCUCAUUAG